GGGGCCAUAGCUCAGCUGGGAGAGCGCCUGCUUUGCAAGCAGGAGGUCGGGGGUUCGAUCCCCCCUGGCUCCA
This 73-nucleotide transfer RNA is filed under the name Baekduia soli. RNAcentral describes it as "Rubrobacterineae bacterium BR7-21 tRNA". It matches the Rfam family "tRNA". Rfam says of the family: Transfer RNA (tRNA) molecules are approximately 80 nucleotides in length. Their secondary structure includes four short double-helical elements and three loops (D, anti-codon, and T loops). Lineage: Bacteria; Bacillati; Actinomycetota; Thermoleophilia; Solirubrobacterales; Baekduiaceae. The record is from Rfam by way of RNAcentral.